This 1950-nucleotide ribosomal RNA is filed under the name human gut metagenome. Its description in RNAcentral is "bacterial LSU rRNA". It matches the Rfam family "Bacterial large subunit ribosomal RNA", at positions 1 to 1989 of the family's 2925-position model. The record is from RNAcentral.
UUAAAGUAGUAAGGGCGCAGGGUGGAUGCCUUGGCACUAAGAGCCGAUGAAAGACGUGAUAAGCUGCGAAAAGCUUCGGGGAGGAGCACAUAUCCAAUGAUCCGGAGAUAUCUGAAUGGGGAAACCCGGCAGAGGAAACCUCUGUCAGCGUGCAGUGAAUACAUAGCUGUACGUGGGGAACCCGGGGAACUGAAACAUCUAAGUACCCGGAGGAAGAGAAAGAAAAUUUAUCGAUUUCCAAAGUAGCGGCGAGCGAAAUGGAAAGAGCCCAAACCGUGAUGCGUGCAUCGCGGGGUUCGGACUGCGUUGUGGCAGACGUAAGAUAGGAGAACGGACUGGGAAGUCCGGCCGGAGAGAGUGAAAGCCUCGUAUCCGAAAUCCCAAGUCGCCUAGCAGGAUCCAGAGUAGGACGAGACACGAGAAACCUUGUCUGAACGAGCGGGGACCACCCCGUAAGGCUAAAUACUUCUUAGUGACCGAUAGCGCAUAGUACUGUGAAGGAAAGGUGAAAAGUACCCCGGGAGGGGAGUGAAAGAGAACCUGAAACCCUGUGUCUACAAGCUGUGGGACCUCUUUAUAUGAGGGACUGCGUACUUUUUGUAGAACGGUCCGGCGAGUUGUGCGUACUGGCGAGGUUAAGGACUUAAGGUCUGGAGCCGAAGUGAAAGCAAGCGUUAAUAGCGCGUCAAGUCAGUGAGUGCAGACCCGAAACCGGGUGACCUAUCCAUGUCCAGGUUGAAGCUUCCGUAAGAGGAAGUGGAGGACCGAACCCACAUCCGUUGAAAAGGGUGGGGAUGAGGUGUGGAUAGCGGAGAAAUUCCAAUCGAACCCGGAGAUAGCUGGUUCUCCUCGAAAUAGCUUUAGGGCUAGCCUCAUGAGAGUCUUAUGGAGGUAGAGCACUGAAUUGCCUAGGGGGCGUCAAAGCUUACCAAAGCAUAUCAAACUCCGAAUGCCAUCAAGAUGAUUCAUGGGAGUCAGACCAUACGAGAUAAGUUGGAUGGUCAAAAGGGAAAGAGCCCAGACCUACAGCUAAGGUCCCAAAGUACGUGUUAAGUGGAAAAGGAUGUGGGGAUUCGAAGACAACUAGGACGUUGGCUUAGAAGCAGCCAUUCAUUGAAAGAGUGCGUAAUAGCUCACUAGUCGAGAGUCCCUGCGCCGAAAAUGUCCGGGGCUGAAACACGACACCGAAGCUUAGGAAUGUGUAAACAUUGGUAGAGGAGCAUUGCUGGCGGGAUGAAGCCAUACCGUAAGGAGUGGUGGACUGCCAGGAAGAGAGAAUGCCGGAAUGAGUAGCGAGAUGAAGGUGAGAAUCCUUCAGGCCGAAUAUCUAAGGUUUCCAGAGUAAAGCUGAUCUGCUCUGGGUAAGUCGGGACCUAAGGCGAGGUCGAAAGACGUAGUCGAUGGAUAACAGGUUGAAAUUCCUGUACCGCAUAUAAACAGAACUGUGGGGACACAGACAGGGAAUGGAAUCCGGGAAUGGAUAUCCCGGUGCAAGCGAGGUAGGAGUGCUGUUGGCAAAUCCGCAGCACGAUCUGAAGACGUGACGCGUACCGAACAUAAGUAGGGAAGUCCAGGCCCCUGGCUGUCAAGAAAAGCCGCUAUUGUUUUAUAUGUGCCCGUACCGCAAACCGACACAGGUGGAUGAGGAGAGAAUCCUAAGGCCGACGGGAGAAGUAUUGUUAAGGAACUCGGCAAAAUGACUCCGUAACUUCGGGAGAAGGAGUGCCAUGAGAGUGGCCGCAGAGAAAUGGCCCAAGCAACUGUUUAGCAAAAACACAGGUCUAUGCAAAACCGCAAGGUGAAGUAUAUGGGCUGACGCCUGCCCGGUGCUGGAAGGUUAAGGGGAGAGGUUAGCGCAAGCGAAGCUUUGAACUUAAGCCCCAGUAAACGGCGGCCGUAACUAUAACGGUCCUAAGGUAGCGAAAUUCCUUGUCGGGUAAGUUCCGACCC